Molecule: ribosomal RNA, 497 nt
Filed under: uncultured bacterium
Lineage: Bacteria
Description: partial 16S ribosomal RNA
Rfam family: Bacterial small subunit ribosomal RNA
Source: RNAcentral
GACGAACGCUGGCGGCGUGCCUAAUACAUGCGAGUCGAGCGGAGAAGGUUGGUUCUUGUACCGAGUGGAUGAGGAGAGAACGGGAGAGUAACGCGAGGGGAAUCUGCCUUAGAGCGGGGGACAACAUGGGGACACGAGUGCUAAUACCGCAUAAGAUCUUUAAACACAGGUUUGAAGGGUGAAAGAUGCAGUUGCAUCACUCACAGAUGAUCCCGCGUUGUGUUAGCUAGUUGGUGAGGUAAAGGCUCUCCAAGGCGAUGAUACAUAGCCGACCUGAGAGGGUGGUCGGCCACAUUGGGACGGUGACACGGCCCAAUCGCCCUCGGGUAGCAGCAGGAGGGCAUCGUCGGCCAUGGGCGGAAGUCUGAGCGCGCAACGCCGCGUGAGGGAAGAAGGAUGCCGGGUCGGAAAACUCGGUUUUUAGGGUAUAACGCUGUUGAGAGUGUAAAGCUCAUCAAGUGACGGUAACGACUCAGAAAGCGACGGCUAACUACGUG